RNAcentral lists this ribosomal RNA (748 nucleotides) under Brevundimonas sp. N4_00_5. RNAcentral's name for it is "bacterial SSU rRNA". It matches the Rfam family "Bacterial small subunit ribosomal RNA", at positions 54 to 849 of the family's 1533-position model. Lineage: Bacteria; Pseudomonadati; Pseudomonadota; Alphaproteobacteria; Caulobacterales; Caulobacteraceae. The record is from RNAcentral.
CAUGCAAGUCGAACGGAUCCUUCGGGGUUAGUGGCGGACGGGUGAGUAACACGUGGGAACGUGCCUUUUGGUUCGGAAUAGCUCCUGGAAACGGGUGGUAAUGCCGAAUGUGCCCUUCGGGGGAAAGAUUUAUCGCCAUUAGAGCGGCCCGCGUCUGAUUAGCUAGUUGGUGAGGUAAAGGCUCACCAAGGCGACGAUCAGUAGCUGGUCUGAGAGGAUGACCAGCCACAUUGGGACUGAGACACGGCCCAAACUCCUACGGGAGGCAGCAGUGGGGAAUCUUGCGCAAUGGGCGAAAGCCUGACGCAGCCAUGCCGCGUGAAUGAUGAAGGUCUUAGGAUUGUAAAAUUCUUUCACCGGGGACGAUAAUGACGGUACCCGGAGAAGAAGCCCCGGCUAACUUCGUGCCAGCAGCCGCGGUAAUACGAAGGGGGCUAGCGUUGCUCGGAAUUACUGGGCGUAAAGGGAGCGUAGGCGGACAUUUAAGUCAGGGGUGAAAUCCCAGAGCUCAACUCUGGAACUGCCUUUGAUACUGGGUGUCUUGAGUGUGAUAGAGGUAUGUGGAACUCCGAGUGUAGAGGUGAAAUUCGUAGAUAUUCGGAAGAACACCAGUGGCGAAGGCGACAUACUGGAUCAUUACUGACGCUGAGGCUCGAAAGCGUGGGGAGCAAACAGGAUUAGAUACCCUGGUAGUCCACGCCGUAAACGAUGAUUGCUAGUUGUUGGGAUGUUUACAUCUCGGUGACGC